RNAcentral lists this ribosomal RNA (388 nucleotides) under uncultured eukaryote. RNAcentral's name for it is "partial 18S ribosomal RNA". It matches the Rfam family "Eukaryotic small subunit ribosomal RNA", at positions 592 to 976 of the family's 1831-position model. The record is from RNAcentral.
CAAUAGCGUAUAUUAAAGUUGUUGCAGUUAAAAAGCUCGUAGUUGGAUUUCUGAUCGAGACAUCAGGUCGGGUCCGAGAGGAUCAUGUACUUUGAUUUUGUUUUGAUCAUCCUUGGGGAGAGCAUUUCUGGCAUUCAGUUGUCGGGAUUGGGAUCCUCAUCGUUUACUGUGAAAAAAUUAGAGUGUUCAAAGCAGGCCUCGGCCUCUGAAUACAUUAGCUUGGAAUAAUAAGAUAGGACUUUGGUGGUCUAUUUUGUUGGUUUGCACGCCAAAGUAAUGAUUAAUAGGGAUAGUUGGGGGUAUUCGUAUUCAAUUGUCAGAGGUGAAAUUCUUGGAUUUAUGGAAGACGAACUACUGCGAAAGCAUUUACCAAGGAUGUUUUCAUUAA